Long non-coding RNA from Gasterosteus aculeatus aculeatus (three-spined stickleback), 952 nucleotides. The record is from Ensembl. Lineage: Eukaryota; Metazoa; Chordata; Actinopteri; Perciformes; Gasterosteidae.
UCUGCUAACCUCCCCUGGUGAUGAGCAAUCUGCAGCCUUCCUGAGUACGGACUUGAAGACGGCCACACUGCCAUCCGCUCCCAGCUCGCUGUGAAGAAGGAUGCCACAAAACAAAACCACAAAAGACUCCUGGCCACCUUCUCACCUGAAGAGAGGCUACACAAGGGUGUGUGUAUCACCACAGGAUUGAAGGAGGUUGACUUCGAGAAAGUGAGACUGGACAAAGUCCUCUGGAGCGACGUGAAUACAGCGACAUCCUUUCGAUGGGACUUCAGGCACUUGAAGCAGCUUCCUGGAAUGGUUGCAAAGAAACCGUCCACGUGUUCGCUUCCUGCUUAACGUCGAUAGUGACAAACAACGUGGUUGUCAAUCUCCUAAAGCCUCGAGGACAAUACUGGAAACAAGCACCUCCUUACUGGCCACCUGAUUCAGAGUGUUGGACCUAUUAGAGAGAGCCUUGUAAUAGGUGCUAUAUUCCAUUUCAGGUGGAGGAAUAUUGGGGAUCCUUUCCAUCUCAGCUGUAUUACACCUGGCACCAAGUGAAUGACCCAAAUCUGGAAGUCAGACCCCGAUUCUAAUCUACAGGUGGUGACACUAAUAUUUCCUCAGUGGUCACUAUACACGGUAACUCGCAGGUCGGACUGGAUUUUGAGAAAGAAGGAAGAUGCAUCCAUGCAUCCCUGCAUUGUGCUUUUUAAUUGUUCAGUUGAACGAUGAUAUCCAACCAAUUCAGUCGCUUUUAAAGGGCCAACGUGGUGCUUCAACCAGAGGCCAGAUCACAGUUAUGCACACUCACAACUAUCUACACGCACGAUGUGUCAUUUUAUUUCAUUUUGAUCUGUUUCCUGUGGUUGGAAUGAUACUCUUUAUUAUAGAAUGCGUUUUUUUGGUUUUAUUUCAUGUCUCUGUAUCGAGAUAAUUAACCUGCACUGGAAUAAAUGUAAUGUGUGAG